This 479-nucleotide ribosomal RNA is filed under the name uncultured bacterium. RNAcentral's name for it is "bacterial SSU rRNA". It matches the Rfam family "Bacterial small subunit ribosomal RNA", at positions 28 to 507 of the family's 1533-position model. The record is from RNAcentral.
GAUGAACGCUGGCGGCGUGCCUAACACAUGCAAGUCGAACGAAGCACUUUUUUACGAUCCCUUCGGGGUGACGAAUUUGUGACUGAGUGGCGGACGGGUGAGUAACGCGUGGGAAACCUGCCUUGUACCGGGGGAUAGCAGUUGGAAACGACUGAUAAUACCGCAUAAGCGCACAGUAUCACAUGAUACAGUGUGAAAAACUCCGGUGGUACAAGAUGGUCCCGCGUCUGAUUAGCUUGUUGGCGGGGUAAUGGCCCACCAAGGCGACGAUCAGUAGCCGACCUGAGAGGGUGACCGGCCACAUUGGGGCUGAGAUACGGCCCAGACUCCUACGGGAGGCAGCAGUGGGGAAUAUUGGGCAAUGGACGCAAGUCUGACCCAGCAACGCCGCGUGAAGGAGAAGGCUUCGGGUUGUAAACUUCUUUGUCAGGGAAGAGCAGAAGACGGUACCUGACGAAUAAGCCACGGCUAACUACGUG